RNAcentral lists this ribosomal RNA (538 nucleotides) under uncultured bacterium. RNAcentral's name for it is "bacterial SSU rRNA". It matches the Rfam family "Bacterial small subunit ribosomal RNA", at positions 777 to 1314 of the family's 1533-position model. The record is from RNAcentral.
AAUAGAUACCCAGGUAGUCCAUGCCGUAAACGUUGGGCGCUAGAUGUGGGGACCAUUCCACGGUUUCCGUGUCGCAGCUAACGCAUUAAGCGCCCCGCCUGGGGAGUACGGCCGCAAGGCUAAAACUCAAAGGAAUUGACGGGGGCCCGCACAAGCGGCGGAGCAUGCGGAUUAAUUCGAUGCAACGCGAAGAACCUUACCAAGGCUUGACAUAUACGAGAACGCUCUAGAAAUAGAGAACUCUUUGGACACUCGUAUACAGGUGGUGCAUGGUUGUCGUCAGCUCGUGUCGUGAGAUGUUGGGUUAAGUCCCGCAACGAGCGCAACCCUCGUUCUAUGUUGCCAGCGGUUCGGCCGGGAACUCAUAGGAGACUGCCGGGGUCAACUCGGAGGAAGGUGGGGAUGACGUCAAAUCAUCAUGCCCCUUAUGUCUUGGGCUUCACGCAUGCUACAAUGGCCGGUACAAAGGGCUGCAAUACCGUAAGGUGGAGCGAAUCCCAAAAAGCCGGUCUCAGUUCGGAUUGAGGUCUGCAACUCG